CCACGGGUGGCAGCAGUGGGGAAUAUUGGACAAUGGGCGAAAGCCUGAUCCAGCCAUGCCGCGUGUGUGAAGAAGGCCUUCGGGUUGUAAAGCACUUUCAGUGGGGAAGAAAGCCUUGGGGCUAAUACCCUCGAGGAAGGACAUCACCCACAGAAGAAGCACCGGCUAACUCCGUGCCAGCAGCCGCGGUAAUACGGAGGGUGCGAGCGUUAAUCGGAAUUACUGGGCGUAAAGCGCGCGUAGGCGGUCUGAUAAGCCGGUUGUGAAAGCCCCGGGCUCAACCUGGGAACGGCAUCCGGAACUGUCAGGCUAGAGGGCAGGAGAGGAAGGUAGAAUUCCCGGUGUAGCGGUGAAAUGCGUAGAGAUCGGGAGGAAUACCAGUGGCGAAGGCGGCCUUCUGGACUGACACUGACGCUGAGGUGCGAAAGCGUGGGUAGCAAACAGGAUUAGAUACCCUUGUAGUC
Molecule: ribosomal RNA, 464 nt
Filed under: Vreelandella stevensii
Lineage: Bacteria; Pseudomonadati; Pseudomonadota; Gammaproteobacteria; Oceanospirillales; Halomonadaceae
Description: partial 16S ribosomal RNA
Rfam family: Bacterial small subunit ribosomal RNA
Source: RNAcentral